CCUACGGGAGGCAGCAGUAGGGAAUCUUCGUCAAUGGGCGCAAGCCUGAACGAGCGAAGCCGCGUGAGUGAAGAAGGCCUUCGGGGCGGAAAGCUCUGUUGCGGGGGAAAAAAGGCAGCAUCAGGAAAUGGGUGCUGACUGAUGGUGCCCCGCCAGAAAGUCACGGCUAACUACGUGCCAGCAGCCGCGGCAAUACGUAGGUGGCGAGCGUUAUCCGGCAUGAGUGGGCGGAAAGGGUGCGCAGUCGGUCCUGCAAGUCUGGAGUGAAACGCAUGAGCUCAACUCAUGCAUGGCUUUUGAAACUGGGGGACUGGAGCGCAGGAGAGGUCGGUGGAACUCCAUGUGUAGCGGUGAAAUGCGUAGAUAUUUGGAAGAACACCAGUGGCGAAGGCGGCCGCCUGGCCUGUUACUGACGCUGAGGCACGAAAGCGUGGGGAGCAAAUAGGAUUAGAUACCCUGGUAGUC
RNAcentral lists this ribosomal RNA (465 nucleotides) under uncultured bacterium. Its description in RNAcentral is "partial 16S ribosomal RNA". It matches the Rfam family "Bacterial small subunit ribosomal RNA", at positions 338 to 795 of the family's 1533-position model. The record is from RNAcentral.